This 4830-nucleotide long non-coding RNA is filed under the name Sus scrofa (pig). Its description in RNAcentral is "lncRNA (ENSSSCG00000053140.1)". The record is from RNAcentral. Lineage: Eukaryota; Metazoa; Chordata; Mammalia; Artiodactyla; Suidae.
AGAAGAAAUUCUGCCUCAAGGCUGAAGUGUAGAAAUUCUAUUAGAGUUCCUGGCCUGCCAGCCUGCCCUGUAGACUUCAGACUUGUCACUCUUCUCUGCAAAUUGCAUGAAUCAGUUUCUUAAAUCUUUUGCACCAGACUUGUUAUCUUAGUGGUCUUGUCUCCUUGAGAAUCUCGGUGUGACUGUGUAGAGAUUGAAGGCAUAUGCAAGACUCUUCCCAGCUACCUUGGGUCCCCCGUUGGGCACAGCCUUCUUUGGAAGCCAGGCAGAGAGCCACAAACCCUUAUUGUCUAAUUGGAUGGACUCUGGUUAUUUCAAACCAUUUCUUGAAUUCACUCUUGUCCCCACUUUGUGAUGUGAGGUGUGUGUGUGUGAUUGUGAUACCACCUGUUUUUCAAAAGCCUAAAAAGUAGAACCCACAUUCUUCCGCUUUGCACAUUUCUCAUUUUUGCAAUGGACACACUUUCUUGUUAAUUUUAAAUGAAACCCUUAGGCUGAUGGGCUGAGAGCCUGUCAGAGAAGUGCUUGGGCUCCACGGUGCAGUCACUUCCACACACUCUUUUUGGGUGUCUGGUAUUCAAAGAGAGAUUGGAAGUAAGGGGGUCCACGUCUCCAUCACCCCUUUACCGGGGAACACGUAUAAGGAGGGGCUGCCCGGCAAAUACAGACAUCUCAAUUUCUAAUCAACACGGAGCUCCUCCUCUUGGGUUUUUGGGGUUUUUUUUUUUUUUUUUUUUUUUUUGUCUCCCUCUUUUUUCUUUGGAUAGAAUUUGCUUCUCAUCAUGAUUGACACUGCAGUGGAGAAGCCAUCUGAAUCGAGGCGUUUUGAGAAAAUUGUAUCUUCUGUGACAUGUGCCACCAAGCCCAUACUUUGCAGCACAUGCUCAAGGGGCUAAUUAUUGGCUGCGCUGCCUCCUGGGGUAAUUUAUGCAUGCCUGUUCCUCGUUUUCCAAGAAGUGAAAAUAAAGCUUCUCAGGGGCUGUGGAAACCCAUCAUUUCAGCUGUCAGUCGAUGGCGCCCCACUGUGAGAAAGCGUUUGCGACUUGAGCCUCUUCCUCCACCCCAGUUUAGAGAAUUUGGUUCCAAGGUUGUUCCAUGUCCCUGGCAACCGUGACACAGGGGCACACAGGGGGCGUGUCUGUCACCAGUGCAACAAGACAUCACGUUGGUUUGUUUCCCAAGAUGGUACCCACGUCUUGUCUCUGGGGAAACUAAUUUUUUGAAACUCCCUUUCUCUGCAUGGGUGAUAUAAAACUCUGGUCUUUGUGGCUUGUCUCCUAAGCAUACACUGCUUAGAUUCACCUUUAUUUUAACAACUAAAGCGUCUGCUUUAUUUUAGUCACUGUGGCUUCCCCAGGAGGAACCGGAUUUGCCCAAGGUUGAACGGUGCCCCGUUCGCCCAACGCCCCCUGUCUCGGUCCCAGGGUUUGAGAUCCCAAGCUCAGGGCUGGCUCUCCUCAGAGAGACUUCGUUGUCCAUUUCCUCCUCCCCUCACAAACUGGAGGAAAGCUGGAAAUGUCAGUUGCAGGUCUUGACGUGUGUCCAGUGAACCGUGCGCAAGGGAAGUCAUUUUCCACAUGGCUUCUUUUUGAUGGAAAUGCAGAUGCCUUGAAGAUGGAUGGGAAACGACAACAACUUUUUAAGAGUCUCUUUCUCCGCCGACUGAGCUAGCUGGCGGCGCAAAGGAUGACUUUUUAAAAGAAGAGCUUCAGCGAAUUCGGCUUCUGAAUUCCCUUAUGGGGAACAAAGAUGCAUGGGUAUUUUCGUGGGAGGAAAAUCCUUAGCGGAACAUAUGUGGAGGAGAGAGACGCAGGGAUGCUUACUGGUGAUAAGAGAGCGUCAUGCCCACAUGUGUCUUCUUCCUGUGUGUUGUCAGAUGUCACACUCAAUGACUUUAAAAAAUCGGGAGACCCGCAAAGGUGGAAGGGCCACUCACCCUGUCUCUGGCACCUGGGGACAGGACCUCAUUUGGACAAAGUCUUCGAACGUGUGAUGAAGGGAAGGGUCUGGGAGGAGGUCCUCCUGGAAGAGGGGGUCCCUCCAUCCAAGGACAGUGUCCUCCAAGGAGAGAGAAGAGGAGACACAGACCCAGAGGAGAAGCCACAGGAAGGGUCUGAGAGGAGGUCCUCCUGGAUGAGGGGUCCCUCCCUCCAAGGACAGUGUCCUCCCAAGAGACAGAAGAGGAGACACAAACACAGAGGAGAAACCACAGGAAGAUGGAGGCAGAGACAGGAGGGAGGCGGCCACUAGCCCAGGGCUGCCUGGAGCCCCCAGAAGCUGGAAGAGGCAGGAAGGACCCUGCCCUGGAGCCUCUGGAGGGAGCCUGGCCCUGUCCACACCUUGACCGCAGACACCUGUUCUCCAGGAUGCGGGAGGAUGGAUGCCUAUUGUUCUAAGCCUCAUGGUUUGGCGUCAUUUUUUUAGGUCAGACCCAGGCCACUCACAGACAUUAUCCUUGAUGUGAUGAAAGAUGAAAGUUUGAGAAUGAGAAGCCCUCUAAUAAGAUAUCCUAGAACAGGUCGAGAGAGACAAGAAAGCCAGGCAUGAAAUGUCGUUUGGGGAACCCUGUUAUACCCCCUGAAAGUGGGUCUUUUCUAGAGUGGAGGGGCUUCCUAGAAGAGAAUCGAUGAGAAGGGAGAAAGAAAAAAGGUCCAGACUUUGGGAGGAGCCCAGAACCAGAAGUUCAGAGCUUAAGAUGAAGAUGAAUUUGGGUCCAGAGAAGGUGUCAAGGAGCCUGGCGAAUUCACUCCACCCCCUGGUGGCCAGGAGGACUUACUACAAGCCUCGGGCAGAGGACUCUGCUCCUCAAAGCCGGAUGCAGGGGAUUUGGGGCGGUCGAGACACUUCUAGAGCCUUCUGAGUUCUAGGGGAGGAAUAGAAAUGCAUGGCCCACGGUCGAGGUGCCAACCCACCGCUGUGCCCCUGCAUAGCUGUAUCCUUCUCUGCCCCAUCCCCAGGUUGCAAAAGCCACACUCUUUGCAGCUCUGGGUUCUCACAGGUAACAAAAUACCGUGAACAGGAGUUGACUGUUGCACCUGUGAAAAUCACUGUUAGUCCCUUUUAUUGGAAGGAGACCUUUUCUUUUUUUAUUGCUUUUAUUUUUAGUGAAGUUGAUUUACGAUGUGCCAAUUUCUGCUGUACAGAAAAGGGAUCCAGUCAUAUAUAUACAUCCAUUCUUUUUCUCAUAGUAUCUUCCAUCGUGGGCUGUCCCAAGGGACUGGAUAGAGUUCCUUGUGCGGCACAGCAGGACCUCCUUGCUUAUCCAUUCUCAGUGUCAUAGUUGGCAUCUAUGAACCCCAAACUCCCAGCCCAUCCCACUCCCUCCCCCUCCCCUUUGGCAACCACAAGUCUGUUCUUUAUGUCUGUGAGUCUGUUUCUGUUCUGUAGACAGGUUCAUAUCUGCCACAUUUUAGAUUCCACAUAGACGUGAUCUCAUAUGGUAUUUGUCUGUCUCUGUCUGACUGACUUCCUUAGUGUCAGAAUCUCUAGGUCCAUCCAUGUUGCUGUGAAUGGCAUUGGUUCAUUCUUUUUCAUGGCUGAGUAGUAUUCCAUCGUGUCUAUGUACCCCCUCUUCUGAAUCCACUCAUCCAUCGAUGGACACUUAGCUUGUGUCCCUGUCUUGGCUAUUGUGACUAGUGCUGCAGUGAACAUAGGUGUGCAUUGAUCUUUUCAUUUAUUACUUUUUGUUGGCUGGCAGAUCUCAGCUGGGCAUGUGAGGUGUCUUUGCUUUUUUUUUUUUUUAUUAGAGUUGAUUUGCAGUGUUGCGUCAAUUUCUGCAACAUGGCAAAGUGAUCUAGUCACACAUGUAUACACAUUCUUUUUCUCAUACUAUCUUCCAUCCUGGUCUACCCCAAGAGACGGGAUAGAGUUCCCUGUGCUGGACAGCAGGACUUCAGGGCUUAUCCAUUUUCAGUGUCAUAGUUUGUACCUACUGACCCCAAACUCCCCAUCCAUCCCACUCCCUCCCAAGACUUUUUCUUUCAACCAGAGAGGUCUCCUAAAACACUAAAACCGUACAUUCCUAUGUGCAUAAAUGAUACUUUCUGACCUUAUUCUUAAACUGAUUUUUUUUUUUUUUUGGUCCAGGUGGGUUGAAAAAUUAAUUACAAAAGAGCUUCCUUCUAGGUAAAUAUGGGGCUGAAUGGUCUGCUGUGAUCACUGUGUCUAUCCACAGUGAUGGAAAACCAGCCAUCAGAGAAAGGUCAGGGCCGUGACCUCUCUUCUGGGUCUACCCAGAAGGCUUAGCCAACCUUUUAACAUUUCUUUGUUAUUUAUUUUUUUCUUUCUCGGUUGUCUGACAUGUCAAUAGCAAUUUUUUAAAUGUCUCGGAGACGUUUAUAUUGCAGUGUUGUGUUUUAUUGCUGCCGUUCUGGGGGCCUGCUCUUAACCAUGAGUCUUGGAAGCCUUUCAUGGGGAUUGUUCUGGUCAGAUGGGUUCCCAGCUACCAAGGCAGUCACAUCAGGUUUUAGCUUUUCCCCAGCUUUAUUGAGGAAUAAGGGACCAGGAGUGUUUUAUACACCAAGCCAUGAGUAGAGGCCAAGCUGUGAAAAUCUCCCCUUUUCUUUCCAACCCAGGCCUCCCCUGUAACCAUAUGGUGGAUUCGUCUUGCAGUUCCCAUUGUGGCUCAGCGAGUUAAGAACCCAACAUAGUGUUCAUGAGGCCACGGGUUCGGUCCCUGGCCUCACUCAGUGGGUUAAGGAUAUGGCGUUGCCGUGAGCUGCUGCACAGCAUGCAGAUGUGGCUUGGAUCUGGCAUUGCUGUGGCUGUGGCGUAGGCUGGCAGCUGCAGCUCUGAUUCCACCCCUGGCCUGGGAACCUCCAUAUGCUGCAG